UACAGAGGGUGCAAACGUUGCUCGGAAUUACUGGGCGUAAAGCGCGUGUAGGCGGUUUUAUAAGUCCGACGUGAAAGCCUGGGGCUCAACCCCAGAAGUGCGCUGGAUACUGUGAAGCUAGAGUCCUGAAGAGGAGAGCGGAAUUCCCGGUGUAGAGGUGAAAUUCGUAGAUAUCGGGAGGAACACCUGUGGCGAAGGCGGCUCUCUGGGCAGGUACUGACGCUGAGACGCGAAAGCGUGGGGAGCAAACAGG
RNAcentral lists this ribosomal RNA (253 nucleotides) under uncultured bacterium. RNAcentral's name for it is "partial 16S ribosomal RNA". It matches the Rfam family "Bacterial small subunit ribosomal RNA", at positions 524 to 776 of the family's 1533-position model. The record is from RNAcentral.